GUGCACCAGUCGCGAAUCCUCCGCAAUGCGCGAAAGCGCGACGGGGCCACCCCGAGUGCCGCCCGCUGAGGGCGGCUUUUCCCCGGUGUAGACAGCCGGGGGAAUAAGGGGAGGGCAAGUCUGGUGUCAGCCGCCGCGGUAAUACCAGCUCCCCGAGUGGUGGGGACGAUUAUUGGGCCUAAAGCGUCCGUAGCCGGCCCGGCAAGUCUCCCGUUAAAUCCAGCGAUCUAAUCGCUGGACUGCGGGAGAUACUGUCGGGCUAGGGGGCGGGAGAGGCCGGCGGUAUUCCCGGGGUAGGGGUGAAAUCCUAUAAUCCCGGGAGGACCACCAGUGGCGAAGGCUGCCGGCUGGAACGCGCCCGACGGUGAGGGACGAAAGCCGGGGGAGCGAACCGGAUUAGAUACCCGGGUAGU
This 413-nucleotide ribosomal RNA is filed under the name uncultured microorganism. RNAcentral's name for it is "bacterial SSU rRNA". It matches the Rfam family "Archaeal small subunit ribosomal RNA", at positions 330 to 745 of the family's 1478-position model. The record is from RNAcentral.